Molecule: small RNA, 118 nt
Filed under: Marmota monax (woodchuck)
Lineage: Eukaryota; Metazoa; Chordata; Mammalia; Rodentia; Sciuridae
Source: RNAcentral
GCUGGGCGCGGUGGUGCACACCUGUAAUCCCAGGGGCUCCAGGAGGCUGAGGCAGGAGGAUCAAAGCCAGCCUCGGCCAAAAUGAAGCGCUAAGCAACUCAGUGAGACCCUGUCUCUA